GAUGAACGCUGGCGGCGUGCCUAAUACAUGCAAGUCGAGCGAACGGACGAGAAGCUUGCUUUUCUGAUGUUAGCGGCGGACGGGUGAGUAACACGUGGAUAACCUACCUAUAAGACUGGAAUAACUUCGGGAAACCGGAGCUAAUACCGGAUAAUAUUUUGAACCGCAUGGUUCAAAAGUGAAAGACGGUCUUGCUGUCACUUAUAGAUGGAUCCGCGCUGCAUUAGCUAGUUGGUAAGGUAACGGCUUAUCAAGGCAACGAUGCAUAGCCGACCUGAGAGGGUGAUCGGCCACACUGGAACUGAGACACGGUCCAGACUCCUACGGGAGGCAGCAGUAGGGAAUCUUCCGCAAUGGGCGAAAGCCUGACGGAGCAACGCCGCGUGAGUGAUGAAGGUCUUCGGAUCGUAAAACUCUGUUAUUAGGGAAGAACAUAUGUGUAAGUAACUGUGCACAUCUUGACGGUACCUAAUCAGAAAGCCACGGCUAACUACGUG
RNAcentral lists this ribosomal RNA (497 nucleotides) under uncultured bacterium. RNAcentral's name for it is "partial 16S ribosomal RNA". It matches the Rfam family "Bacterial small subunit ribosomal RNA", at positions 28 to 507 of the family's 1533-position model. The record is from RNAcentral.